RNAcentral lists this ribosomal RNA (495 nucleotides) under uncultured bacterium. RNAcentral describes it as "partial 16S ribosomal RNA". It matches the Rfam family "Bacterial small subunit ribosomal RNA", at positions 28 to 507 of the family's 1533-position model. The record is from RNAcentral.
GACGAACGCUGGCGGCGUGCCUAAUACAUGCAAGUCGAACGCUGAAGGCGGAGCUUGCUUCUCUGGAUGAGUUGCGAACGGGUGAGUAACGCGUAGGUAACCUGCCCGUUAGCGGGGGAUAACUAUUGGAAACGAUAGCUAAUACCGCAUAAGAGUAGAUGUUGCAUGACAUUUGCUUAAAAGGUGCAAUUGCAUCGGUACCAGAUGGAGCUGCGUUGUAUUGGCUAGUUGGUGGGGUAACGGCUGACCAAGGCGGCGAUACAGAGCCGACGUGCGAGGGGGGUCAGCCACACUGAGAGUGGGACAGGGCCCAGACGCCUACGGGGAGGAGCAGUAGGGAAUCGUGGGCAAUGGGCGGAAGUCAGAGCGAGAAACGCCGCAGGAGUGAAGAAGGAUUUCGGAUCGGAAAGCUCUGUUGUAGGGGAAGAACGAGUGUGAGAGUGGAAAGUACACACUGUGACGGUAUCUUACCAAAAAGGAACGGCUAACUACGUG